This 412-nucleotide unclassified non-coding RNA is filed under the name soil metagenome. RNAcentral describes it as "partial contains 5.8S ribosomal RNA, internal transcribed spacer 2, and large subunit ribosomal RNA". The stretch from base 1 to 120 matches the Rfam family "5.8S ribosomal RNA", at positions 35 to 154 of the family's 154-position model. The record is from RNAcentral.
GAUGAAGAACGUAGCGAAAUGCGAUACGUAGUGUGAAUUGCAGAAUUCUGUGAACCAUCAAAUCUUUGAACGCAUAUUGCGCUCGAGGCUUCGGCCGAGAGCAUGUCUGCCUCAGCGUCGGUAUUACCCCUCGCUUCUCAACCCCUGGUUGAUGCCUGCCUGCCUUUGCAGUUGGCUAGAAGCGGAUCUGGCUUUCCCAAUUGCCUUUGGUAGUUGGGUCAGCUGAAGCACAGAGGCUUGAGCAAGGACCCUUAUUGGGCUUCAACUGGAUAGGUAGAACUGGUCUUAGGACCAACUACACGAAGUUGUUGCUUGUGGUCUUUGUCUGGAGGCCAGCAGGAAACCUUUAUACCUUCGACCUGAGCUCAGGCAAGAUUACCCGCUGAACUUAAGCAUAUCAAUAAGCGGAGGA